This 22-nucleotide non-coding RNA is filed under the name Arabidopsis thaliana (thale cress). The record is from RNAcentral. Lineage: Eukaryota; Viridiplantae; Streptophyta; Magnoliopsida; Brassicales; Brassicaceae.
UUGAGGUCCCUACUGAAUUGUC